GGGAUUUGGAUUGGUGGGUUGUUGCAGAAGAUUUUUUAGAUCAAGUUUUUCUUUUUGGGGUAAAUUAAAGGUAAAUGAUGGAUUUUUGGGUUUUUGGUUUACUUUUCACUUGUUUUCGUUUCUUGUCAGUUUCUUAUGCGCCCUUGUUUCUAUGUGGUGCUCUGAUUUUUCAUGCUUUCUCUGUGAUGCUUUGAUUUUUCAUGUAGCAUCAGUAGCUCUGUAAAUCUCCGCUUUAAUCUUUUUUUAUUUUUCAUUUCCCGUUUAUUCAUGCAAGAUCUCUGAUCAAAUACGCUACAAACCUAGAACAAUAUCUGAACUUUGAUAUUAUUGAUCGAAUGUGAUUGACCCUAUAGUAAUCAAUGAAACUUUAGAAUUUAGAUCAAUGGAUUGAUUGUUUAUGACUAGUUGUUGUUCCUUGUUAGGAAUGCACAUUAUUCCUUACUCAAGUAGCUAUUCCUUACUCAAGUAGAUAUUCCUUCUUAGGAAUGCAACUUGGAGCAUUAUUGUGGUAACAAAAUUGCUAUUGUUAGAAGGCACUGCUUUCUCUUCCAGCAGGUUAGCAGUGGAAUUUAGAACUUGGGGGUAAGAACCAAGUUGCUUUGAACCCAUAUGUGUUUACUGGAUUGCCUUGUGAAUACCAACAGGAACUGGAAAUCUUGCCAACCAGGUAAAUGUCUUGGCAUCACAAGUUUAAUAGAGUUGGGGUUAUGAAUUUAAAUCCAUUUUUAGGUAUUAUUAUGUUUCUUUUGUCGUGGUUUUUACUAUUUCAUUGCAUUGACUUGGGUUGUUAUUUGGUUUAAGCAAUGAAUCUAGUUUAACUAUUUUGAUUGACAUGGAGUAUUUGCAUGAUUGUUUAGUGGAAUUGGCUCCUCUUUGGGUGUUGCCUUUCUUUAGAUUUUUGAUUUAUAGAUGAAUUCUUAUUUAUUCUUUUCAUUAUUUCCUUCUUGAAUUCAGUGGAGCCAUUUGGUCUUGCUUUUCAUGGCAGAAUUGAUGUGUAGUUCACAUAAAACAAGAGUAUGCAAAGUGAUUGGUUAAAUUCAUCUCUAAAACAGCUUCCAUAUAGAAGUUCUAUUGGGUACUUUUUUUCUUCUUUAUGUUUUAAUGUUGUUACUUUUCUUAUUAAAUAUGGUUAAUUAUUAGUAUGAUGAAAGUUUCAACUGCUAUUUCAAGGAUAAUAAUCAGGGAACCAAUUGACUGAGAGCUGAAUGGGCCCAUGAACUUUUGUCUUCUCAAUGGGAAAACAUCCCCUGAACUUCAUCUCCUAAAAAGCAUUAGCAAAGUUCACAAUCUUGUUGUUGUUAAUCAGUAUAAAAACCAUUUUCAGGACAUCUUAUGGCUUGAUUGUUCUCUCAUUGUAUACAAGGUCCUCUUUACCCUUGUGCUUUUUGCUAUCAAGUUCUUCUUUCUUGCAAUGGUAUGCCAAUGUGAGAUAUAGUAACAUGUGUCGUAGAUCAUUGUGGAAGAAGACUUGCUUAAUGAGGUGUGGUCUGCUUGAAAAAGUUAGAUUACUUUGCUACUAUCUGAUGAAGAAUCAACUCUUAGGCUAGAUCCACUAGAAGGUACAUCGAUAACUGCACUACUGAAUUUUACCGUCUCCUUGUGAAGCCGAAAAUUUGUUGAAGAGAUUCUUAUGCGGUUGAUUUUUUUUCUCCUAUAGUAGUUGCCAAAAUGGAUGGGGCAUUAGAAAGAUCAGUGCUAUUUAGUCUAUAUAAAGAUCAUUUACAUCUAGUUCAUAUACAGGAAAUGCUUGCAUGGAGGUCCUGAACAUUGAGAUUGAAUACCAUAGUCAAGCUGUCAUGAAAGAUCUUAUCUUUUGAAAAACACACUUGAUAGGUAUGUCCAAUUACUUUUUUCACGUAGAGGUAUUUGCCCACUGAUGUUUGCGAUGUACUUGUUGUAUGAUUAUAGAGACAAAUGUAAGUAUUUGCAAAAAUAUGCAUGUUUAUGCACAUGAUCAAGUGAUCAGAAGCUUCUGUAGAUGAUAUAUGUGUGAUGACUUUAGGCUCUUUAUGGUCUCUACAUAUCGGUGACUUUAGGCUCAUUAUGGUCUCUACAUACCGGUGACUUUAGGCUCUUUAUGGUCUCUCUCUCUCUCAAUCGCUCUCUCUCUCUCUCUCAAUCCAACGUACUUUACUUUCAAUUGAUAUUUUAUCCCAAAAAUUAAAAUUCCAAAAAUUAAUAAAAAAUAAAUAAUAUCUAGGUCUCAAUUUAAAUCCAAUACAGAUACCCAGAACUUCUCAGUCUUUCAGCAUGUUAUCAAACACAUAUACUUAGAACUUACUUAACAUUCCAGGAGGUUAUCAAACACAAAAACUCAGAACUUCUUACAAUAACUUCUUUCUUCCCAGCAAAGAGGAACUUUACAGUUCAUGAACUUGCUUCCGGUUAUCAAACAGGCCCUUAGAAAGAGUGAGAGGUAAACAAAGCCAUCUCUCUCUGGAGAGAGAGAGGUAACUCGUCAUCCCCAUAAUUUGUUUUUCGAGAUUGGGUCAUUGAAGCUUUGGUCUUCACCCACACUACCAGGUAGUCCUUUGUUCCAUUACCAGCACUCUUUAAGAAGCACCAUAGAUUGGAAUUGCUCCUUUGAGAAGGUUCAACUGUGAAGUUCUAAUGAGAUCCAUUGCUAUGGUGCUUUUUAAUCGCAACCACGGAUUUGAUAUAUCUAAAUUUUCUCUCGAAAGGUUCUUCUCUAUCAGACCAGAUAAUCGAACUCUGUCAAGCUCCAUAGUUUCACACUAUGCCAUGGAUAGUGUGGCUGUUUUUUGGGAUUUAGACAAUAAACCCCCCAAAUCAGUCCGCCCUUAUGAUGCAGCCAUUAGGCUCAAGUUAGCAGCUUCUGGCUUUGGGGUAGUGAGAUAUUUGGUGGCUUAUGCCAAUAGGCAUGCAUUUAGCUAUGUUCCUCCUAUGGUUAGGGAACAGAGAAGAGGGAGAAACUUAUUGAACAAGUUAGAAAAUAGUGGGGUCAAAAAGUCUCUAGAGCCUUGCAUGUGCAAAGUUUGUGGGAGAAAGUUCUAUUCAAACGAGAAGCUUCUCAACCACUUCAAGCAAUUACAUGAAAUGGAACAGAAGAAAAGAACGAACCGGCUUGAAUCUUUGAAAGGGAAUAGAAGAGUGAAAUUAGCUGCGAAAAUGGCUAUGAAAAUGGAGAAAUAUAAGAGAGCGGCCAGAGAGAUAUUGGUUCCAAAAGUGUAUGGACUGGCUGGCGAUAUUAAACAAGCCGGGUUUUGGGUUAGGACCGUUUCUGAUCGACCCGAGGCAGCUGAUAUCGCAUUGAGGAAUCAUAUGUUGGAGACCAUGGAUCGGGGGCUUAAGUGCUUGGUUCUUGUUUCUGAUGACUCUGAUUUUGUGGAAGUUUUAAAAGAGGCAAGGUCUAGAAAUGUUAAAUCAGUUGUUGUUGGUGAUAAUAUAACUGGGGUUUUGAAAAGAUACGCUGAUAAAGCCUAUAUGUGGAGGGAUAUUACAUCUGGGAUAGCGCGAAAAGAGGCGGUAUCAGCUGUUGGGCAGUGGGAAGAUCGGGAUAUAUUGAAGAAGCUUGAAUGGAAAUACAAAUCAGAGCUUGGUACUGGUGAUAGUGAGGAUAUCAAAGUAGAGUUUGGAGAUGAAAAUAUUGAAGACAUGGGGUCUGAUGAUAGUGAUAGUGAGGAUAUUGAAUUGGAAGUUGGAGAUGAAGGCAGUGAAGAGAUGGAGUUUGAAGAAGAUGAGAAGAUAGGUGCUAAGGUAAAUGCUCGACCCUGGUGGAAAUUGGAAUUGGAUUCAAACAGUGAACACUCGACUGCGAGACCAUGGUGGAAAUCUGAAUCGGACUCAGACGAUGAACGCCGUUGAUUUUGUGUAGAUGUUUGAAAAACUGGAGCUGGAGGAGAAGCUGGAGGUUGGCUUGAAUAGACCGGGUAGUUGAUAUUUGGGGAGUAAGAAAUGAGACUAUUACCGGGUAACAAAGUUCAAUGAAGCUCAACAAAGUCCACAUUGAUGAUUGCUUGCAGUGAUGCAAGGGUUUUGGAAGAGCAAAAACAAGAAACCCCAUUUGCGGAGGACUUUGAUCUUGAGCAUUGUUUUCGUUACAACAAAUUUGGCAAACAAGAGGCCUCAUCUAUAGAGGACUUUGAUCUUGAGCACCAUUUCCGUUACAACAAAUUUGGCAAACAAGAAACCCAUCUACAGAGGACUUUGAUCCUGAUCAACGCUUUUGUUACAACAAAUUUGGCAAACAAAAAAGCCUAUCUAUAGAGGACUUUGAUCCUGAGCAUCGCUUUCGUUACAACAAAUUAGGCAAACAAAAAACCCCAUCUACAGAGGAUUUUGAUCUUGAGCAUCACUUCCGUUACAACAAAUUUAUCAAACAAGAAACCCCAUCUAUGGAGGACUUUGAUCUUGAGUAUCGCUUCCGUUACAACAAAUUUGGUAAACAAGAAACCCCAUCUACACAGGACUUUGAUCCCAAGCAUCGCUUCUGUUACAACAAAUUUGGCAAACAAGAAACCCCAUCUACAGAGGGCUUUGAUCUUGAGCAUCGCUUCGAUUACAACAAAUUUGGCAAACAAGAAACCCCAUAUAUAGAAGACUUUGAUCCAUAGCAUCGCUUCCAUUACAAUAAAUUUGACAAAAAAGAAAUCCCAUUUAUAAAGGACUUCAUCGAAUUUUACGCUAUGUUCGAGGUACUUCCAUUUAUGGAUUAUUCUUUGGCUCCACAUCCUCUUUAGAUCUCAGUGCAUAUGUCAAUGUAAAUUGGGCAGGUGAUCCAGACACAUGCCGUUCUACUACAAGAUAUUGUGUUUCAUGGGGUCAUCAUUAAUAUCAUGGGAGAGCAAGAAAUAGGACAUUGUUUUCAAGUCAAGCACUAAAGCUGAGUAUCGUGUUAUAUUCUCUGUUGCUAGUAAGAUUGUUUAGGUUCGUGCUCCUCUCAAUGAAUUUGGUAUUUCUAUCAAAUCCCACACAUUUACAUCCAGAUAACCAAUGUGCAAUUAAGAUUGCAUCUAAUCCAGUUUUUCAUGAGUGCACAAAGCAUAUUAACGUAGAUUGUCAUUACGUUUGUGAUCACUAUUUUGAUGGUAUAUUAUCUCUCCCUUAUAUUUCUUCUACUUCUACUGUACAAAUGGUUGAUAUUUUCACGAAAUCUCUUACUCGGAGCGACCAUGAUUUUCUGGUGGACAAGCUAAUGCUUUACUCAUGUUUGCAUUAGCUUGAAGGGGUGUAAUAAUGUGUAUACAAAAAUAAAAUGUAGAAUUUCAUUUGUCCUUUGUUGUCAGUGUACAUUUGUAUAGGGAUAAUAUGAUUUACACUAAAUUUGUAUUUACAUAUAAACUGUUUUAGGGUUUCAUUCCUUGAUAAUAAGAAUUGAUCAAUAUUGUUUGUCUCUAGACUGUUCUUGAGCUCUGCAUCUUCUCUAAAUCUAAUACUUGGAAUAUGAUAUGUAAGAGAGCUAGAGUGGUCAUGGCUGCUUAUAUGAGAAUGUGAGUCUAUUUCUUUGACACUGCUUUGAGGUUCAAAUUCAUUCAUGGGCUUUUGUUUUCCAUAUCUAUUGUAACGGAACGAUGUUCAAGAUGAAAGUCCUUCGUAGAUGGAGUUUCUUAUUUGCCAAAUUUGUUGUAAUGGAAGCGAUGCUCAGGAUCAAAGUCCUAUGUAGAUGGCGUUUCUUGUUUGCCAUAUUUGUAAUGGACGAGAUGCUCAAGAUCAAAGUCCUUUAUAGAUGGGAUUUCUUUUUUGCCAAAUUUGUUGUAACGGAAGCGAUGCUCUGGAUCAAAGUCCUCUGUAUAUGGGGUUUCUUGUUUGCCAAAUUUGUUGUAAUCGAAGCGAUGCUCAAGAUCAAAGCCUUCUGUAGAUGGGGUUUCUUGUUUGCCAAAUUUGUUGUAACAGAAGCGAUGCUCGGGAUCAAAGUCCUGUGUAGAUGGGGUUUCUUGUUUACCAAAUUUGUUGUAACAGAAGCGAUACUCAAGAUCAAAGUCCUCCAUAGAUGGGGUUUCUUGUUUGACAAAUUUGUUGUAACGGAAGUGAUCCUCAAGAUCAAAGUCCUCUGUAGAUGGGGUUUUUUGUUUGCCUAAUUUGUUGUAACGAAAGCGAUGCUCAGGAUCAAAGUCCUCUGUAGAUAGGCUUUCUUGUUUGCCAAAUUUGUUGUAACACAAGCGAUGAUCAGGAUCAAAGUCCUCUGUAGAUGGGUUUCUUGUUCGCCAAAUUUGUUGUAACAGAAGUGGUGCUCAGGAUCAAAGUCCUCUAUAGAUGAGGCCUCUUGUUUGCCAAAUUUGUUGUAACGGAAACAAUGCUCAGGAUCAAAGUGGUUGAUGCAUGUAAACAGUCUUACACAAACCAAUGAUUUAUCUUGAGAAACAAAUUCAAGUGGUUGAUGCAUGUAAACUUCAUCUUGAAGUUUGCCAUUAAGGAAUGCAUCUUUGACAUCCAUCAGCCAUAUAAGCUACAUAUCGAUAGGGUAUGCGAGCAUUGUGAUUUGGCCUCCAGAGUAAGGCAUGCUGCUGCUGUUUAAUUUUUUGCAACUUUCUUCACAUAUUAGCAACUCC
Amborella trichopoda is the source of this 6509-nucleotide non-coding RNA. The record is from RefSeq and is a predicted model, not a curated record. NCBI's taxonomy places the organism in Eukaryota, Viridiplantae, Streptophyta, Magnoliopsida, Amborellales, Amborellaceae.